GUGAGGAAUUUUCCGCAAUGGGCGAAAGCCUGACGGAGCAACGCCGCGUGAAGGAUGAAGGCCUAUGGGUUGUAAACUUCUUUUCUCAGAAAAGAAUUAUGACGGUAUCUGAGGAAUAAGCAUCGGCUAACUCUGUGUCAGCAGCCGCGGUAAGACAGAGGAUGCAAGCGUUAUCCGGAAUGAUUGGGCGUAAAGCGUCUGUAGGUUGUUUAAAAAGUAUUCUGUCAAAGAUUAGGGCUUAACCCUAGAUAGGCAGAAUAAACUUUUAAGCUAGAGUUUGGUAGAGGCAGAGGGAAUUCCCGGUGGAGCGGUGAAAUGCGUAGAUAUCGGGAGGAACACCAAAGGCGAAGGCACUCUGCUGGGCCAAUACUAACACUGAGAGACGAAAGCGAGGGGAGCAAAUGGGAUUAGAUACCCCAGUAGUCC
RNAcentral lists this ribosomal RNA (426 nucleotides) under uncultured bacterium. Its description in RNAcentral is "partial 16S ribosomal RNA". It matches the Rfam family "Bacterial small subunit ribosomal RNA", at positions 354 to 796 of the family's 1533-position model. The record is from RNAcentral.